Molecule: ribosomal RNA, 185 nt
Filed under: Candidatus Berkelbacteria bacterium
Lineage: Bacteria; Candidatus Berkelbacteria
Description: partial 16S ribosomal RNA
Rfam family: Bacterial small subunit ribosomal RNA
Source: RNAcentral
GAAAUCCGCUCGCCGUGGUGGGAACGUAAAUUCUAAACUUCUAGAAGACAAUCGCCCGUCAUUGCAGGGGAGCCGGGAAUACCCGAAGACCCGUAUUAUUAUAUGGGGCCACGGUAGGCUCGGUGACAAAGCAAAAGUCGUAACAAGGCACGGGUAGGAGAACCUGCUCGUGGAUCACCUCCUUU